GGGGAAUAUUGCGCAAUGGGGGAAACCCUGACGCAGCAAUACCGCGUGAGUGAAGAAGGUUUUCGGAUCGUAAAGCUCUGUUAUUGGGGAAGAAAAAAAGACGGUACCCAAGAAGAAAGUCCCGGCUAACUACGUGCCAGCAGCCGCGGUAAUACGUAGGGGACAAGCGUUGUCCGGAUUUACUGGGCGUAAAGGGCACGCAGGCGGUUUGGUAAGUCAGGGGUGAAAUCCCGCGGCUCAACCGCGGAAUUGCCCUUGAUACUGCUGGACUUGAGUUCGGGAGAGGGUGGCGGAAUUCCAGGUGUAGGAGUGAAAUCCGUAGAUAUCUGGAGGAACAUCAGUGGCGAAGGCGGCCACCUGGACCGAUACUGACGCUGAGGUGCGAAAGCGUGGGGAGCAAACA
This 403-nucleotide ribosomal RNA is filed under the name uncultured bacterium. RNAcentral describes it as "bacterial SSU rRNA". It matches the Rfam family "Bacterial small subunit ribosomal RNA", at positions 356 to 774 of the family's 1533-position model. The record is from RNAcentral.